Molecule: ribosomal RNA, 509 nt
Filed under: uncultured Bacteroidales bacterium
Lineage: Bacteria; Pseudomonadati; Bacteroidota; Bacteroidia; Bacteroidales
Description: partial 16S ribosomal RNA
Source: RNAcentral
CACGGAGUUAGCCGAUGCUUUUUCUUCGGAUACACGCAGUCCGGGACACGUCCCGGGUUUUGUUCUCCGACAAAAGAGGUUUACAACCCAUAGGGCCGUCUUCCCUCACGCGGCUUGGCUGGUUCAGGAUCUCUCCCAUUGACCAAUAUUCCUCACUGCUGCCUCCCGUAGGAGUCUGGUCCGUGCCUCAGUACCAGUGUGGGGGACCUUCCUCUCAGAACCCCUACGCAUCGUCGCCACGGUGGGCCGUUACCCCGCCGUCAAGCUAAUGCGCCGCAUGCCCAUCCUCUUCCGAUGAAUCUUUCCUCGAUCUCGGAUGCCCGAAACCGAUAUACGCGGGAUUAGCCUCCCUUUCGGAAGGUUGUCCCCCUGAAGAGGGCAGGUUGCAUACGUGUUACUCACCCGUGCGCCGGUCGCCGGCAAGGAAAGCAAGCUUCCCUCCCGAUGCCCCUCGACUUGCAUGUGUUAAGCCUGCCGCUAGCGUUCAUCCUGAGCCAGGAUCAAACUCU